Molecule: long non-coding RNA, 1293 nt
Organism: Mus pahari (shrew mouse)
Lineage: Eukaryota; Metazoa; Chordata; Mammalia; Rodentia; Muridae
Exons: 3
Source: RefSeq, a predicted model, not a curated record
AGUGCCCUUCCUCCAUGCUGACUCAACAGCUUCUGGCCGCCUUGCCUGGCUCUACAGUGGAGCCACCGCAUGACACAGAAUUUAUAUAAUUGGGAUUGAAAAUAUAUCCACUUAAUUCUUCCUCCUUGGGAAGCAAAACCUAUCCUAUACAUUCCCCAAAUGUGAGCUAAUGUCGAUCCCUGAGUGACUGUGAGCCUUGAAUGGAGAUUGUCACUGACCCCCGCCGACUGACUGAUCUGCUGUGGGGAGCCACGGAGAAGGCCUUUGCCUACAGAGCCGCUGUCUAAUCUCCUGUAGAAGGCCUCUCUGCACUCCCAGGUACAACCACCAUCAAACCCAAGCCUGCUGCUCAUCAAGCCAAGGACAACCACUGUGGGAUUGUGGAGCUCCCACCCUUGUCUCCUGGCCCCAGAUUCAGCCUUCAGGGGCCCAGAUUCUGUUCUCAUCUCUUCUGAGACUUCUGUGGCACCUGGAUGUCCAAGAGCUUGGGAACAGACCUAGGGACCCUGAGCCAGCUCUCGCUCCACAAAAGUGAGAUCAAUAUCAAUUAUCAAUAUCAAUAUCAUCACUCACAGGUGAAGGAACUGUAACUGGCUGAAGUUGCUCAAGGACAGGCAUGGAAAAUUGGCAUCACGCAGAUUAGGAACACAGGUAGUCUGCCCCCCAGUCAGGACCAUGCGCAUUUGGUCUGCUGCUGUGUGUCCUAGGACCGCACAGGAACUCCCACUGCAGAGAGGGGGAAUUUUAACGGUGAGAGCUUCUGUUUUUCUUGUUUCUGACUGAGAAAGAGUCCACUUAGAGCUAGUUUAGCAUCAUCUACCCUCCAGGGCUGGAGCUUCUCUGGUCCAGUGUAGUAAUUGCUUUUGCAUGUAUUAUAGCUAUUGCUUUACACGAGAAGAUAGAAUAUGCAGGCUGGGUUACUUUCCAUCACUUAAAUACCACCAAUCCUCUCUUUAUCUUCCACCUACAGGAAAAGCUUAGGUAAGUUUAUAAGGUCCUAAACACAGAUAUCCUUCAACUUUUUAAUAUUUUUAUGUUGAGAUUUUUCUCAGUCUCCUUUGUUAUAUGCACAGUGCAUGAAAAGAAUGUAAGGAACAUAAAGGUGAUCAUGACUUUACCACCAAUAAAUAUCUUAGUGACGUCCAAGCUGUUCUAGAUUACCCAUGGAUUUCAUGUCUUCAUUUUAGGGUGUGACACUUCCUUAAUGGUCAUACAUGGAUCUAUAAUGUACAAAUGAAUGUUGAACUUGAUUGGCCUUCAAGGUAUGUGAAAAAAACUACUUAUUUGUUAGAA